CAGCAGCCACGGUAAUACGUAGGGUGCGAGCGUUAAUCGGAAUUACUGGGCGUAAAGCGUGCGCAGGCGGUUCGUUAAGACAGAUGUGAAAUCCCCGGGCUUAACCUGGGAACUGCAUUUGUGACUGGCGAGCUAGAGUAUGGCAGAGGGGGGUAGAAUUCCACGUGUAGCAGUGAAAUGCGUAGAGAUGUGGAGGAAUACCGAUGGCGAAGGCAGCCCCCUGGGCCAACACUGACGCUGAGGCACGAAAGCGUGGGGAGCAAGCAGGAUUAGAGACCCGAGUAGUCCCUGUCUCUUAUAC
Molecule: ribosomal RNA, 301 nt
Filed under: uncultured bacterium
Lineage: Bacteria
Description: partial 16S ribosomal RNA
Rfam family: Bacterial small subunit ribosomal RNA
Source: RNAcentral